RNAcentral lists this ribosomal RNA (262 nucleotides) under uncultured bacterium. RNAcentral's name for it is "partial 16S ribosomal RNA". It matches the Rfam family "Bacterial small subunit ribosomal RNA", at positions 524 to 780 of the family's 1533-position model. The record is from RNAcentral.
UACGUAGGUGGCAAGCGUUGUCCGGAUUUACUGGGCGUAAAGAGCGCGCAGGCGGUCGUCCAAGUCGCGUGUGAAAGCCCCCGGCUCAACUGGGGAGGGUCACGCGAUACUGGUCGACUCGAAGGCAGGAGAGGGUAGUGGAAUUUCCCGGUGUAGUGGGUGAAAUGCGUAGAUAUCGGGAGGAACACCAGUGGCGAAGGCGACUACCUGGCCUGUUCUUGACGCUGAGGCGCGGAAAAGCUAGGGGGAGCAAAACGGGGGG